RNAcentral lists this ribosomal RNA (483 nucleotides) under Microhyla sp. 3 VG-2020. Its description in RNAcentral is "partial large subunit ribosomal RNA". The stretch from base 165 to 483 matches the Rfam family "Bacterial large subunit ribosomal RNA", at positions 566 to 1033 of the family's 2925-position model. Lineage: Eukaryota; Metazoa; Chordata; Amphibia; Anura; Microhylidae. The record is from RNAcentral.
CUAAAAACUUAGCUUAUCUAAUUCUUAUGUACUCCCCUCCCCCACAAAUAAACUCAAUAAAACAUUUUUCACAUUAAGUAAAGGCGAUUAAAAAAUGUCUAAAAGCUAUAGAAACUAGUACCGCAAGGGAAAAGUGAAAUAAAAAUGAAAAACCUCAAGCACAAAAAAGCAGAGUUACAAUCUCGUACCUUUUGCAUCAUGGUCUAACUAGUCUAACCAAGCAAAAUGAAUUUUAAGUUUGACCCCCCGAAACUAGAUGAGCUACUUAAAAACAGCCUUUAGGGCCAACCCGUCCAUGUUGCAAAAUGGUGGGAAGAUUUUUAAGUAGAAGUGAUAGACCUACCGAAUCUAGAGAUAGCUGGUUAUUCAGGAAAAGGAUUUUAGUCCUACCUUAGGUUUACUAUAUAGUUUACAAUACUACCACAACCUUAAGAGCUAUUCAAAUAAGGUACAGCCUAUUUGAAACAGGAUACAACCUCUACU